UACGGGGGGGGCAAGCGUUGUUCGGAAUUACUGGGCGUAAAGGGCGCGUAGGCGGUCUACUAAGUUGGAUGUGAAAACUCUGGGCUUAACCCAGAGCCUGCAUUCAAAACUGAUAGGCUGGAGUUCUGGAGGGGAUAGCGGAAUUCCUGGUGUAGCGGUGAAAUGCGUAGAUAUCAGGAGGAACACCGGUGGCGAAGGCGGCUAUCUGGACAGAAACUGACGCUGAGGCACGAAAGCCAGGGGAGCAAACGGG
This 253-nucleotide ribosomal RNA is filed under the name uncultured bacterium. Its description in RNAcentral is "partial 16S ribosomal RNA". It matches the Rfam family "Bacterial small subunit ribosomal RNA", at positions 524 to 776 of the family's 1533-position model. The record is from RNAcentral.